GACGAACGCUGGCGGCGUGCUUAACACAUGCAAGUCGAACGGAAAGGCCCCCACUUUUUUGGUGGGGGUGCUCGAGUGGCGAACGGGUGAGUAACACGUGGGUGAUCUGCUCUGUACUUCGGGAUAAGCUUGGGAAACUGGGUCUAAUACCGGAUAGGACCAUGGUUUAGUGUCUCUUGGUGGAAACAUUUUUGUUUUGGUGCAGGGUUAGCUCGCGGCCUAUUAGCUUGUUGGUGGGGUAAUGGCCUACCCAGGCGUCGGCGGGUAGCCGGCCUGAGAGGGUGGCCGGCCUGAUGCGGACUGAGAUACGGGCCUGACUCGUACGGGAGGCAGCAGUGAGGAAUAGUGCACAAUGGGCGCAAGCCGGAUGCAGCGACGCCGCGUGGGGGAUGACGGCCGUCGGGUUGUAAACUCCUUUCGUUAGGGACGAAGCCGCACCUUUUUUGGGUGUGGUGACGGUACCUUUGUUAAGAAGCACCGGCUAACUACGUG
This 492-nucleotide ribosomal RNA is filed under the name uncultured bacterium. RNAcentral describes it as "partial 16S ribosomal RNA". It matches the Rfam family "Bacterial small subunit ribosomal RNA", at positions 28 to 507 of the family's 1533-position model. The record is from RNAcentral.